Coffea eugenioides is the source of this 650-nucleotide long non-coding RNA. RefSeq lists it as uncharacterized. The transcript is spliced from 4 exons. NCBI's taxonomy places the organism in Eukaryota, Viridiplantae, Streptophyta, Magnoliopsida, Gentianales, Rubiaceae. The record is from RefSeq and is a predicted model, not a curated record.
UGUAAAAAGAAGCUGGUGGUCUCAGGGGUUUCCUGCCUUUCGUAGUUAUCGGCUCUAUAUAUUGGUAUAGAUGUCCACCGUAUCCGGUUCUUCCGCUUAUAAUUCCUCCAGAGUUAUCAAUUCUUCGCCUGCUUUAACUUUUCCCUGUUUUUGUCGAGAUCUCUUGGUUUCUUGCCGCUACUUUCCCGGACUUACUGAAUGGGGGCUGUCUUGAACUUCCUUAAUUCUAUUGGGCCUACGGGUUCAAUUUUGCUGGGUAUGCAAUUUGGCUACUGCGUCCACCUCCUCCUCAGGGCGAAUUAUUACAAUAGAAAAGAUUCGGACAAGUCCAAGAUUGGGCAUGACAACCUUCUGGCUGCUGAUCCUCGCAGAAGGCUGUAGAAAAUUACUAGUGGAUCUUGCCAUGCACCAGAAUGAAUGGGUGAAUGAACUGGAUUAGUAUAUUAUCGUAUUGUUAACUCUAAAUUAUGCUAGUUGUAGUGGCUGCUUGUAUAAUUAACCUCUUAGCUAAUGUUGGAUUUUAAUGCUGUGGUGAGAAUCUACUCUGUGGCAAGAAUUGUUCUGGUGAGACUUUUUUGUGGCAUUGAAAGCUCCCUUUUGGCGUCAUUUACCAGAGUCCGCUAAGAAUCACAGAGCUGCUUAUUCCAUUC